AUGAACGCUGGCGGCGUGCCUAAUACAUGCAAGUCGAGCGAACGGACGAGAAGCUUGCUUCUCUGAUGUUAGCGGCGGACGGGUGAGUAACACGUGGAUAACCUCCCUAUAAGACUGGGAUAACUUCGGGAAACCGGAGCUAAUACCGGAUAAUAUUUUGAACCGCAUGGUUCAAAAGUAAAAGACGGUCUUGCGGUCACUUAUAGAUGGAUCCGCGCUGCAUUAGCUAGUUGGUAAGGUAACGGCUUACCAAGGCAACGAUGCAUAGCCGACCUGAGAGGGUGAUCGGCCACACUGGAACUGAGACACGGUCCAGACUCCUACGGGAGGCAGCAGUAGGGAAUCUUCCGCAAUGGGCGAAAGCCUGACGGAGCAACGCCGCGUGAGUGAUGAAGGUCUUCGGAUCGUAAAACUCUGUUAUUAGGGAAGAACAUAUGUGUAAGUAACUGUGCACAUCUUGACGGUACCUAAUCAGAAAGCCACGGCUAACUACGUG
RNAcentral lists this ribosomal RNA (496 nucleotides) under uncultured bacterium. RNAcentral describes it as "partial 16S ribosomal RNA". It matches the Rfam family "Bacterial small subunit ribosomal RNA", at positions 29 to 507 of the family's 1533-position model. The record is from RNAcentral.